RNAcentral lists this long non-coding RNA (871 nucleotides) under Homo sapiens (human). RNAcentral's name for it is "HSALNT0379032". Lineage: Eukaryota; Metazoa; Chordata; Mammalia; Primates; Hominidae. The record is from RNAcentral.
GCCGGAGGGGCUGCACUGCACCGAGCUUGCACAGGGCGAGGCGGGGGCAGGACCUGGGACCCAGCCACCCCGGAGGAAACCGGAGAGGAAACCAGCUUGGUCUUGCUCUCUGCCUCGUCCCAAUCCCCGGCUCUUACCAAAUGCAGAAAGAGGGAGAGGGUGUGUGCCGCCAAGAAUCAGGAUAUUUCCAGGAAAAUUUCACUCCAAGAGGCUUUCUUGAAUCUCAUUCCUAACAUGUGGGCAGAUGAUUGUCUAAACCACUGAGGGAUGAUGCUGGAGGUAAACAUCUAAUUAAUUAAAGAAAAUCUCCUUCUGCACCCCAACUCCGAAAAUGCCCCGCAGUUGAGAAACACUGACACACACUCACCCACACUCACCCACACACUCACCCACACUCACACACACACUCACCCACACUCACACACACGCGCCCACACUCACACACACACUCACACAUACACUCACACAUACUCACACAUACACUCACACACUCACCCACACUCACACACACACCCACACUCACCUACACUCACACACACUCUUACACAUGUAUUUGUAAAAAAAAACUCCCUGGUGACUGAGUCCUUCGGUCCACCUGCGUUUGUUAAUUCCAGGUUACAAACACCUUGAUCUCCAUCACCCUUCUUCCAAGAAUGUGUGACCACAACCCCUUCGCUCUUCCAAGCAACGUUUGCUCCAACUUAAUAUUCCGGUGCUUUCGGGAACAACAUUUUAAAAUAAACCAUUUUGGCACCUUGUCAAAGUCUUGUCUAAAUUCCUUCAUGACAACCACUCUCAGUGAGAUUUUUAAAACCAAAGGGAGUUGGGGGCAGGGAAAAGAGGAGUUCCCCGUUUAGAGUCCUAAUUUUAA